CCUACGGGGUGCAGCAGUGGGGAAUAUUGGACAAUGGGGGCAACCCUGAUCCAGCCAUGCCGCGUGUGUGAAGAAGGCCCUCGGGUUGUAAAGCACUUUCAGUGAGGAAGAACGCCUGGUGGUUAAUACCCAUCAGGAAAGACAUCACUCACAGAAGAAGCACCGGCUAACUCCGUGCCAGCAGCCGCGGUAAUACGGAGGGUGCGAGCGUUAAUCGGAAUUACUGGGCGUAAAGCGCGCGUAGGUGGCUUGAUAAGCCGGUUGUGAAAGCCCCGGGCUCAACCUGGGAACGGCAUCCGGAACUGUCAAGCUAGAGUGCAGGAGAGGAAGGUAGAAUUCCCGGUGUAGCGGUGAAAUGCGUAGAGAUCGGGAGGAAUACCAGUGGCGAAGGCGGCCUUCUGGACUGACACUGACACUGAGGUGCGAAAGCGUGGGUAGCAAACAGGAUUAGAUACCCGAGUAGUC
Molecule: ribosomal RNA, 465 nt
Filed under: Vreelandella stevensii
Lineage: Bacteria; Pseudomonadati; Pseudomonadota; Gammaproteobacteria; Oceanospirillales; Halomonadaceae
Description: partial 16S ribosomal RNA
Rfam family: Bacterial small subunit ribosomal RNA
Source: RNAcentral